RNAcentral lists this long non-coding RNA (3266 nucleotides) under Homo sapiens (human). Its description in RNAcentral is "long non-coding RNA NONHSAT148801.1". Lineage: Eukaryota; Metazoa; Chordata; Mammalia; Primates; Hominidae. The record is from RNAcentral.
GCCGACUUGCCAAGUCUAAUUUGGGAAACUUUGAAGGACGGGCUUCACUAUAUCAGUGAUUGAUUUGUUUACAUGAAAUAGAAGCCCACUCCAGCUAGUUUAAGCAAAAAAUGUAAUUCAAUAUAAGGCGUUAGAACUAUCUCACAGAUCUCAAGGGCAGGCAAGUCGCACAAGGACCUUACACUCAGGACUGGUGUUGGGGGAAUGCCCACCUUUCCGUCCACUUCUCUCAAAACACCAAUUUCCUUUCUGUCUUUCAGACACGUGUCCCAAGCAGCCCUCCUUGGCAAAUCUACAUUUCCUUACCCAACCAGGACCUGUGGCAAACAGUCUGGCCUCUCCUUGUCCUAAUUCCAAAGUUCAGGAAUCUGACUGGCCCAGCCUGGCCUCUAGAGUGGUUGCCUGUGAGUCAGGUACCUGCUUCUGCCCCAGUUAACUGGACAAGGAGGCUGGGCUGCAUAGAAGAACCAAGGACCCAGGAGACUCCCUGGGCUUGUGGGCUGAGCAGGUACCUACUGAAGAAACCUGAAGAAAACUGAAGAAACCUACUUCAGUUUGGCCGGUCCUGGGGACUAGGAGCAGGCCAGACAUGGAAUUUUUUCCCAGUCCUUGCACUUCAAGUCAGAGAAUCAUCAUGAUCCCACGAAACACCAGCUCAGCCCCCACAGGUGCUAUACUUUUGACGAGAUGGAACACAAAUGGAUUACUAUGCAGUUCUCUUUUUUCCAGGUCAGCAAAGUCCAAACGCAGGGGCAACUGAGUGUACCUUUUAAGGUGAAUGUCUUGAACUCCAGUUGCUCCGCCUCCUUUGGGUUGCUAUGACCUUUUUCCUAAUCUUAAAGAGAGGAAGAGCUUUAAGGGCCAGAUGGGGUCUCUGGUUUCCCACGGGGCUCCCCAAAGGCAGCCCUUCUUGGCAAAACCCUGGGCCCAUGCCAGGACUGAGUCAUAGAAGGGAAAGUACCCUGGGUGGAAGUUGGACAGUGACCUUGGGCAAGCCCCUUCCCUCCUUCGCUGGGUCUUAGUGCUUCCUCUGAGAAGCAAGGAGGUUUAACUCCACCUCAUUCGUGCCUUCAUUCAAUAAACACCAAAUGCAUUCCUGGCAUUUGCUUGGUAUGUGGGCAGAUAAAUAGAGUAAUUGGAUUCAGUGCCUGGAAGAACCCACAGUCAGGUUGGGUGGGGAGAAGGCACCUAAGGGCCUGUAAUUACAGAUAUGUUUAAGAAGGGCUAGAUGAUGUGGACAGUCCCUGCCCACUCCGGGAUCCCUAGAAUGUGUCAGUGCAGGGGAAGGAAUACAUAAGUAACUUGGCAAGGUCACAGGGUUACACCCAGAAAAAUGUUAGCCCUUGAAGUUAGGGACAGCCCUGGGCCUAGCUCCUGAUCCUUCUCCAUCCUACAGAAAACCUGCUGAACAUGGAUUUUGGAGUUGAGCCAAUUCAGAUUCCAACCCCUGAGCAGACACCAACUGGAACUGGAAGCGUCACUCUCCGGGCCUCAGUUUCCUCCUUUAUCCAAGGGGGAUAGGCCCUGGGAUCCUAGGACAUAUGAGGGUUCCAUAAGAUAAGUAUAAUGUGUAUCAUGUCAAGAGCUCAGCACAGGGCCUGGCCCAUUGUACGACUCCACCAUCAAGGCAGGAGGUCGAAUGGACAUCUGUCCACUCUGGAAACACACCCACCUCUUGCCUCCCUUGGCUGGUCCCAGGGUUGGCUCUCUUUCUGGGGCCCUCUUACCCAAGAGGUCUUGCCUUAGUCCUCUCUUGACCCUUUGAAUGCUCUCAGGGGCUUCCUCUUCUCAGGCCAGAGCCUCCCCAUUGUACACCUCUGCUCUACUGAUCUGGCUGUGAACUGGUAUGUGCCAGAGACAGGGAGGAGGCUGGUAGGGCUGGGAUUCCUUGGGGGAAAGCUGGCCAGAGCUGCAGGUUCCCCGACUCUCUUCCCAGCAUUAAAUUAGCACUGGAGCUGCCUGGUCUUGCCCAAUAACUUGCCCAGGACAAGGUGACAUCCUUCCUCCCUUCUUUGAGGCAGGACUGAGUGGCUUCCUAGAAGAAGACAGGCAGGACAAGCCAAGACGCACCCAAAGAAUGGGGGAGGGAACCUGAUUGGGGGAGAAGAUGGGAGAGUCUGGAGCUUGGGGCAGCAGUGGAUGGAACAGGUUUGCCCACAUUCCUGGCAGGCCCCAGGAUUCCAAAGCACUUUCUGUUUUUGUCACUGCCCCACCAAUCACAUACUCUGCCAGGGCCACAAGGCACCAGGCUUUUCAGAGCACCAAGCCCUUCCACCUUCACUUCUCAUUCUUCACACCAAAAGAUGGGUACUACUGGCUCUGUUUUACAGAUGAAGAAAUUGAGGCUCACAGAGGAAGAAUCACAUGCCCCAACUCGGAAGGGCUGAUACAAUUAACAUUUAAUGGCCAGGUGUGGUUGCUCAUGCCUGUAAUUCCAGCAUUUUGGGAGGCCGAGGUGGGUGGAUCACUUGAGCCCAGGAGUUCAAGACCAGCCUGGGCAACAUGGUGAAACCUGACUCUACAAAAAAUACAAAAAUUAGCUGGGCGUGAUGGCACGUGGCUGUAGUCCCAGCUACCCAGUAGGCUGAGGCAGAAGGAUCACCUGGGCUCCAGUGGUCGAGGCUACAGUGCGCCAUGAUUGUACCACUGCACUGCAGCCUGAGAGACAGAAUUAGAUCCUAUCAAAAAAUAAAGUAAAAUAGCCAUUCACUAAGAACUACUAUGAACCAGGUGGAUUUCAUACAAAAAUCAUCUCUGUUCCCAAUAUCCCAGCAAGGUGCCCAUUUUACAGAUGAGCAGACCAAAAUGCAACCUGAUGAAAGCACUUGCCCAAGGGCCCAGAACUAGCAAGCACAGAGCAAAGAUGUGAACCUAGAUUUGUUGGACUCCAGAUCCUACCCCUUCUCAAUGUUAAAGGCAAGGAAGCGGAGGCUCAGUAAGGUUCAAACCAUGUCCAAGGUCAUACCACCAGCAAGGCAAAGCCAGUUUUCAACCCAGGUCUGUCUAACCCUGCAACUUCUGUGUUUGCCGUAUGCUACAUUGUCUCAAUAAACCUUUUUUUCAUGGAGCAACUGGCUGAUGCCAAAUGACUACAACUGUAUCUCAAACAGAUAAAGAUCCAGGACAGAAAGGGUCAUGAACUAUUAUUACCAUUAUCAUCAACGCUAUUAUUAAUUGCUAACAUAGCAGGGUCAGCAUUUAUACUGUAUGAUUCAGAUUUGCAGAAAUAAAACUUUCCUUCCACAACUGAACCCAACGCGAUCACA